UGUUGACCAGGGUGUAGGAGCGGGUGCCCUGGAAGGAGAAGAGGGUCCCGUCGAAGGUGGAGAAGUGGGGGUCUCCCAUAACCCAGCAUACAGCCUUUGACAGAGCCUCACACACCGCCUGGUCCUUCUCCACCACACAGCGCUCCUUUUCCCUGCACUCCAUGUCCACACAUGGAUCUGGACACAAAAAAUACAGAAACGUAGGUAAGAAGGAUCUUCACACUGUGAACCCCCUCCCGCAGUGAAAGAAUUACUGCAGUACUGCUGAAACCAUCCAGGGUGUCCACAGACCAAUCACUG
Long non-coding RNA from Hypomesus transpacificus, 300 nucleotides. RefSeq lists it as uncharacterized. The record is from RefSeq and is a predicted model, not a curated record. NCBI's taxonomy places the organism in Eukaryota, Metazoa, Chordata, Actinopteri, Osmeriformes, Osmeridae. The transcript has 3 exons.